AAGAAUACUGACAAUUGAACGACAUGACUUAAAAUUAGAGUGGCACACAUUUUUAUGGGAUGGGAAAAAUAAGACGCACAGUUAUUUCCAAAGACACCAAAUAAGAAAUGUAUGGCUAUUAAUUUGGGAAAAGAUUAAAAGGAAUCAUGACAAAAUUCCGAUCUGGUUAUCAACCAUGGAGGCAUCAAUAUAUCCAAAUGUGUUAGUUCUAGAUAAGAUAGUAAGGUAUAAGGAUAUCUUAAACGGGCAAGGGAUAUUAAAAACAAAACAAGAAUUAAAAGAACAAGGAAUCGAGGUAAAGUGGUGGACAUAUAUGCAAAUACAAACAAGAUUCAAGAAAGAUGUAGAAAGAUUCAGAGAAUUAUCGCAAUUAGAUAAGAUACUACAA
This is a non-coding RNA of Notechis scutatus (mainland tiger snake), 388 nucleotides long. The record is from RefSeq and is a predicted model, not a curated record. NCBI's taxonomy places the organism in Eukaryota, Metazoa, Chordata, Lepidosauria, Squamata, Elapidae.